This 553-nucleotide long non-coding RNA is filed under the name Sorghum bicolor (sorghum). RNAcentral describes it as "long non-coding RNA (SBIC_LNC005103)". The record is from RNAcentral. Lineage: Eukaryota; Viridiplantae; Streptophyta; Magnoliopsida; Poales; Poaceae.
GGUUCAAAGGCAAUCAGUCUAUAUAACUGCAACACUAAUCUUGGCCUGCACGGAAGCAUGUAAUAGCUGAUCCUUUGCAAACAACACAUCAUCAUAUGCAUGGAAGCAUCAUAUGUAUGAUAUACUAAAAAAGAGCUAAAAUAUGAAAAAAGAAGUACAGAAAAUUCAAUUCGGCAGAUGGAGAGUUUGAGACAGCGGCUACCCGGCAAAUACAAUGUCGUCAAUUCGGCAGCUAUGGAAUUCCGUAGAGGCAGGUAUGGCGCCGAGGGCCGGGUGGGGCGGAUCUACGGCAGCAGUGCCACGCAGGGGCCAGGGUCGCCUUGCGCCGGCAUUGCGCUGCCCCCACAACUCAGGGCUUGAACCCUAACCGCUAGGUCACAGCCGUGGGGAGAGGGCGCGCACUUCUUCGGCUUCUCGGAGCUCUUUCUUCAACUUGGUCGGUCCUCCUAUAUGGCUUCUCAGAGCUUCUCGGAGCUCUUUCUUCAACUUGGAGCAGUAGGGGACCAUCGCAAGCCAUGGCAGCGGCGCUCCUGAGAGUAUCAGAGGGUAUGGG